This 1215-nucleotide long non-coding RNA is filed under the name Nicotiana benthamiana. RNAcentral's name for it is "long non-coding RNA (NBEN_LNC006259)". Lineage: Eukaryota; Viridiplantae; Streptophyta; Magnoliopsida; Solanales; Solanaceae. The record is from RNAcentral.
GUCCAAGGAAAAGUGGAGGCGAAGAAGGUGGCAUUUGCUGAGUUGGCAGGGAGCACAAGCGAGGAAGAACGGAGAGUGAACAUGGAGAUCUAUAAGGUGGCGAGGAGAGAAGCAAAGCUGGCGGUUACGGAAGCUAAAAACACGUCGUUUGGUCGCAUGUACGAGGAAUUAGGGGAGAAAGGCGGGGACAGGAAGUUAUUCCAAUUAGCUAAAGCAAGGGAAAGGAUGGUAGAGUUCUGAUGGGGGAGUCUCAAGUCAAGCAGAGGUAGCAGGCGCACUUUCGAGACUUACUUAAAGAGGAGGGGGAUCGUAACAUAGAGCUAGGGGAGUUGGGGCAUUCAGAGCAACAUAGAGACCUUGGGUACUGAGGUGCAUAAGGGCGGAGGAGGUCAUGAGGGCUUUGCGUAGGAUGAGCAGGGGUCGAGCGACCGGGCGUGACGAGCCAAGUUAGGUGCAUCAAGGGCGAGGAUGGUAGAGUUCUGAUGGGGGAGUCUCAUGUCAAGCAGAGGUGGCAGGCGUACUUUCGAGACUUACUUAACAACGAGGGGGAUCGUAACAUAGAGCGGAGUUGGGGCAUUCAGAGCAACAUAGAGACCUUGGGUACUGCAGGCUCAUUAGGGCGGAUGAGGUCAUGGGGGCUUUGCGUAGGAUGAGUAGGGGUCCAGCAACCGGGUCUGAUGAGAUCCCGGUGGAGUUCUGGAAAUGCAUGGGUAGGUCAGGAGUGGAGUGGCUCUCCAGGNNNNNNNNNNNNNNNNNNNNNNNNNNNNNNNNNNNNNNNNNNNAGGUCAGGAGUGGAGUGGCUCUCCAGGUUGUUCAAUGCGAUCUUCAGGACCAAAAGGAUGUCGGAGGAGUGGAGGUGGAGUACAGUGGUGCCCUGGUACAAGAACAAAGGGAACAUCCAGUGCUGCAACAACUAUAUGGGUAUUAAAUUAAUUAGUCAUACCAUGAAAGUAUGGGAGCGGGUGAUCAAGGCGAGGGUGAGGGAGAUGAUAUCUAUAUCUGUGAACCAGUUCGGUUUCAUGCCGGUCGCUCCACUACAGAAGCCAUCCACCUUGUUAGGAGGUUGGUAGAGCAGUUCAGGGAUAAGAAAAAAGACCUGCACAUGGUGCUUAUCGACUUGGAGAAGGCGUAUGACAAGGUCCCAAGGGAGGUGCUAUGGAGAUGCUUGGAGGCGAAGAGCAUGCCGGAAGCCUACAUCAGAGUAAUCAAGGACAU